UGGCCCUCCAUAGGAAGGAGUCCGAAGAUGAGGCCCCUUCCAGGAUCGAGGAGAACAGGAGUGUUGCAGUUUGGAGAGCUGAAUUAGGGGUCAUCAUCAGAAAGCAAUGCAGCGUCAUUAAAAUAAAAACUGUGCCUUUUAAAAAGAAAAAAAUGCAAAUGUAUAGCAAAUCCCUAAACUUGAACAAUUUCCUAGUGCCUUGCUAGACAAACCUACAGGGGCAGGGUUGGGGGAGGGGAAACAUGGGUGGUGGCGUGUGCAGUUUCUGUUGGAUGAGUGUGUGUUUCUGAACUUCUAAUUUCAAGCAGGAGAUGGGCCUAGAGCAGGAUCUGAGACGGAGAAGCCUCUCGAGGGCCAGAGGCCAGAGUUGUUCCAGUUCGUGCAAGGAACACUCCAAAUUAAAAGGGCAGCUGGACAGCUCGUUUAGUCCGUGGCCUGAAAGGGCCUCAGCAACCCCAGGGGGAGGGCUCUGUUUGGAGGCCAUGCCUGUAGCCCCCAUCCCAGCCCCCAGGGUGCCAAGCACUCUCUAGAUUCCCAUGUGGUCCCAUUCCAAGUGGCUGACCAUGUCCUCGGCAAGACCGGGACUCGUGUGGAAAGCAGGAGCAGUGGCAAGCAGGCCGCAGACUUCCUCUUUCCCAUCCCUUGGUUCUCCUUUCAAGUCUGGUUUGCCCCCUAGACAAGGGAGGGCUAGUUCCCCCGAGCAGGUCUUGCUGAGCCCUUGUCCGGAGAUGCUGGGACUUGACGGUGUGUAACGGGGGAAGGGGAGAGAGAAGUUCAUGGCUCAGCUGACCAACUGGCGGAUUACAAAUCCUGACCGCUCAUUGUUUUGGCCUCAUUUUUGAAAACCACCUGUCUCCAAGAUUCCACUUCCUGCUCACACUGCCAGCUGUUGCUCAGGAAGGCAGCCAGGAGUCUGGAGGUGCUCUCAUCUGGGUAGUGGGUGAGGAUGGGGGCCCCUCUUCCUCUCUUUAUUCUGAGCAGGCGGUCACAAAACAGGGUGUGGCUGGAAAGCAUCUUUGCUGUAAAUACAAGGCCUCGGGAGGUGGCCAAGUGUGCAGACACGUGUGUGAAAAGCCAGCCCACCGCGUGCCUCCGCCUGGAGCUUUCAACUUUGAAAACCAUCCAGGAACUAGCCAUCCUGCCCUUGAGGAAGAGCUAGUUCGGAGGCAGAAGGGGGUUCUCCCACAGGCCUGGGGAGAAGGAGCCCUUCUCGCUGCGGGUGCAGCAGACAGACCCCCGACGUCCACAUUCUCUUUACUUUGCUAACCUACCUGUUGAAUUCUUUUUCUCCUGAAGAAAGAGAUGAUAUCCUUUAAAAUGACUCCAUAUUUCUUUCCAUGCAUCAUUUUUCUGUCUCUCGAGUCUCAAAAGAGCGGCAAAGCACUUUACUGAGAAAUCUGGAUUCCUUGCUUCAGCGAUCCUAGUUUGUACAGGUUGGGUGAACUUUUGUAAUUCCUGGGAGGCAGUGCAUUUUUAAUGUUUUCUGGAGAUUUUUAUGUGUGGGAGAGGGGCAAGGAGUGCAGUCCUGUUCUGGAAUUCUUUUCUACUUUCUCUUUGUGAAAAUCCACGUAAUAUUUCAGUCCAAACUUGAUCUUGAGCCAAGGCCCACUGCCACCGCUGGGGUGGGAGUUGGACCUACAUCCCCAAUGACAAGGUCCUCUUAACACCUGCUCCCCACAUGGCUUUGAUUCUCCCGUGUCAGAUAACAGGGUUGGGCUCCUGCUCCGUUUUUGGCUUGAAGACUGGGAUCCCAAAGGGACUACAGGCAGGGAAUAUGGAGAUGGCAGACUGGGUAUUGCAAACAGAGAGCUCAAGACUACCAACCUCUCUUCUCCUGCCUGGAAAAGUGAGCCUUUGUGAAGAACUGACUUACCGUGUACAAUUGUGAUUGUGACUGUUGUUGAAUAAACCUCCAGACUUUCUCUAACGUGCUGUCUGGCUUGUUCUU
RNAcentral lists this long non-coding RNA (1948 nucleotides) under Ailuropoda melanoleuca (giant panda). RNAcentral's name for it is "lncRNA (ENSAMEG00000027950.1)". The record is from RNAcentral. Lineage: Eukaryota; Metazoa; Chordata; Mammalia; Carnivora; Ursidae.